RNAcentral lists this ribosomal RNA (329 nucleotides) under uncultured eukaryote. RNAcentral describes it as "partial 18S ribosomal RNA". It matches the Rfam family "Eukaryotic small subunit ribosomal RNA", at positions 1470 to 1796 of the family's 1831-position model. The record is from RNAcentral.
CCCUUAGAUGUUCUGGGCCGCACGCGCGCUACACUGACGAUGGCAACGAGUUUUUCCUUCGCCGAAAGGUGUGGGUAAUCUUUUGAAACAUCGUCGUGCUGGGGAUAGAUCAUUGCAAUUUUUGAUCUUGAACGAGGAAUUCCUAGUAAGCGCGAGUCAUCAGCUCGCGUUGAUUACGUCCCUGCCCUUUGUACACACCGCCCGUCGCUACUACCGAUUGAAUGGUUUAGUGAGGACUCCUGAUUGGCGCCGCCGCCCCGGCAACGGAGCAGCGGGCUGCCGAAAAGUUGUUCAAACUUGAUCAUUUAGAGGAAGUAAAAGUCGUAACA